UGCGUAGGCGGUCAUUUAAGUCUGACGUGAAAUCUCCGGGCCUAACCCGGAAACUGCGUUGGAAACUAUCUGACUAGAGGAAUGGAGGGGAGACUGGAAUACUUGGUGUAGCAGUGAAAUGCGUAGAUAUCAAGUGGAACACCAGUGGCGAAGGCGAGUCUCUGGACAUUUCCUGACGCUGAGGCACGAAAAGGCCAGGGAGGCAAACG
This 209-nucleotide ribosomal RNA is filed under the name uncultured bacterium. RNAcentral's name for it is "partial 16S ribosomal RNA". It matches the Rfam family "Bacterial small subunit ribosomal RNA", at positions 568 to 774 of the family's 1533-position model. The record is from RNAcentral.